ACUCGAGUGGCGAACGGGUGAGUAACACGUGGGUGAUCUGCCCUGCACUUCGGGAUAAGCCUGGGAGACUGGGUCUAAUACCGGAUAGGAGCCAUUUUUAGUGUGAUGGUUGGAAAGUUUUUCGGUGUAGGAUGAGCUCGCGGCCUAUCAGCUUGUUGGUGGGGUAAUGGCCUACCAAGGCGGCGACGGGUAGCCGGCCUGAGAGGGUGGACGGCCACAUUGGGACUGAGAUACGGCCCAG
This 241-nucleotide ribosomal RNA is filed under the name uncultured Actinomycetales bacterium. RNAcentral describes it as "partial 16S ribosomal RNA". It matches the Rfam family "Bacterial small subunit ribosomal RNA", at positions 89 to 334 of the family's 1533-position model. Lineage: Bacteria; Bacillati; Actinomycetota; Actinomycetes; Actinomycetales. The record is from RNAcentral.